CUCGCCCACUCAUCUCGGCCCACUCCGUCGUCCCGGGCGUUCGAAGAUGUCCGCCAAGCCCGAGGUCGGCUUCGUGAAAGAGGCUUCUCGCCAGAUCCUGGCCGGUGGUUCCGCUGGUCUUGUAGAAAUUUGCCUGAUGCACCCCCUCGAUGUGGUGAAAACCAGGUUCCAGAUUCAGAGAUGUGCAACUGAUCCAAACAGUUAUAAAAGCUUGGGAGACAGUUUUCGAACAAUUUUCCGAAUAGAAGGGCUGUUCGGUUUUUACAAGGGAAUUCUGCCACCCAUCUUGGCUGAAACACCAAAAAGAGCAGUGAAGUUUUUCACCUUCGAGCAGUACAAGAAAUUGCUAGGAUAUGUGUCACUGUCACCAGCAUUGACAUUUGCCAUUGCUGGAUUAGGAUCUGGACUAACUGAAGCUAUCGUGGUUAACCCUUUUGAGGUAGUAAAGGUUGGCUUGCAAGCGAAUCGGAACAAAUUUACAGAGCAACCAUCCACUAUGAGUUAUGCAAGACACAUCAUUAAGAAGGAAGGCUUGGGACUCCAGGGCCUCAACAAAGGAUUUACAGCAACUUUGGGACGUCAUGGGGUUUUCAACAUGGUUUAUUUUGGCUUCUACUACAAUGUCAAAAACAUUGUUCCUGUCAAUAAGGAUCCAACCUUGGAGUUUUUGAGAAAAUUUGGGAUUGGUCUUCUCUCGGGCACAAUAGCCUCAGUCAUUAACAUCCCUUUUGAUGUUGCCAAAAGUAGGAUUCAAGGGCCUCAGCCAGUUCCUGGAGAGAUCAAGUACAGAACCUGUUUUAAAACAAUGGCAACAGUCUACCAGGAAGAAGGGAUUUUAGCUUUGUACAAAGGCCUGCUUCCCAAGAUUAUGAGGCUUGGACCAGAGUGCCUGAAAAAGAAUCUGAUGAGAAAUGCUGAAAGUCACAGAAGCUCAUGGGGAAAAAAUGUAUUUGGAGACUCAAGAUGGUCUUGAUUUUGCUGUGAGAAUUUUCCACAAUAGUUUUACAUCAGCGUAUUAGAGCCCAAAGACUGGUGGUGCAGUGAUGCUGCUGGUUUAUGAAUACACCUAUUCAUGGCUUCAAGAGAACUGGUGAUUACCUAUGAAGUGUUGAAAUAAUGGAUAUUUGCUAUACAGCACUGAGCUGAUAAUUGUAGAAUUAUAAUUUACAAUCUUAUGUACAAUUAAGGGGAAACAGUUUAUUCAUGAACUCUAGAUUCAUGAAAAUCUAUUUCGAUACUCCAAAAAUCAUCUCUAGACCAUUUGAGACAGUAGUUUUGGCCACAUCCAUAAAUCUGUGAGAAGAAAGAUAAUAUGAAGUAAGGAGGUGUGUUAAUCGAGCAUAGAAAUCAGAUAUAGUUCAUAAAAGCAAUAUAAAUUUCAUGACCUGUAUUCCUCUCACACUGAUUCACAAUGAAAAUUCAUUGUAUUCAUAAUUACUUUUUUCCCCAAGAGAUCAAGAAAUGCUUAAAGUCAUAAAAAAAAUUAAGCCAAAAUUUGAACAGUUCUUUUAAGGAAUUCUUCCAUAAAUAAUAACUAAAAGGCACAAGGAAAAGAUUUUUAAAGUACACUAAAAUGGCAUUUUAAAAAUAUUGAAUUUUAUGUUAAAAUUUAAAUCCAUUGGUUUUCUUUAGAGUAAUAAUCUACAUCACACCUCUACUUUCCCAAAGCUACUGGCACUGUUUUUUUAAAUCAUGAUAUGUGAAGUCUUAGGACAAAUAGAAAACAUGAAAUUAUGUUGAACUACUUUCCUUCACAUAAUUCCCUUUGAAAACAAUUUUUGUUGCUGAAAUAGUUUCAUGUUAAAUAACAAUUUGGAACCACUCCUUGGGCCCAUUUGUGCCGUGUUUGCAUCCAAGUAUCUUUUUUCAGAACUCUUACCUAUGCCAUUCUUAAAAAGACUGUUUAAAGUACAUUUCCAAAUUAUUAAAGUGACAGCUUCUGGUAUGAAGUCAUCUAUCUGCAGUGUUAAAAUGUGUAUUAUGAAGGGAAAAAUGUUUCAAAAUAGAAGUACGUUCUUGGCAUUUCCAAAGAUUCCUGUACUAACAUGCACUCCAAAAAAAUAUCUCCUUGGCACCGACAGAACCAAACUGGAUUUUUUAGUUGCCUCCUGAAAUGAUGCUACCUCAGUAGCUGACGUCAACAAAAAUAUCUGCACGUUCUAGACGAUACCUAUUCUUAACUACUACUAAAGAUUAUUUCUACCAUGAGGCUAGGUCACUGAAGCAUUUUGAAAAUAAAAAAUAAAAGAUAACAUGGUAAUUAUUACUUUUUAUUAAUUUAGAGCAUUUGAAGUAUAAAAAUAAAGGCUUUUUGACAUACUGUAUAUACAUACACAGCCUUCGGUUGUACAUCCUUUCCAACGUGUUUUUUAAUUUAUAUUUCAGCCCAAUAUUCAAUAAGAGGGUCAUUAAAAGUAGAAAGAAAAAAAAAACAAGAUGCGUCUGUCAUACAACUGCAUCCUAUCCUUUGCAGGUAAUGCUAUUGCGGCCCGUGAAGGAGAGUACUGCCUGCAUGG
This is an RNA transcript of Prionailurus viverrinus (fishing cat), 2516 nucleotides long. It is a transcript of the gene named solute carrier family 25 member 21, with no coding region annotated. The record is from RefSeq and is a predicted model, not a curated record. Lineage: Eukaryota; Metazoa; Chordata; Mammalia; Carnivora; Felidae. The transcript is spliced from 11 exons.